Molecule: ribosomal RNA, 306 nt
Filed under: Triticum aestivum (bread wheat)
Lineage: Eukaryota; Viridiplantae; Streptophyta; Magnoliopsida; Poales; Poaceae
Description: partial small subunit ribosomal RNA
Source: RNAcentral
AUGUCCGUGCACUGGGCUGGACGAGAUCUCCUCAGUCAGAGAACCCCAGAAGAGAGUAUAGCCUGCAAAUUUGUCCAAUGCGCCUUUGAACCGUCAGUGCAUGUUUUCUUUUGUGGUAAAGUGAUCCAGUUGAGCUCUGAUAUCAGGAUUGAGACACUCGGCUCUCAUCUUUGGCAAGUUCUCAGGUAUGGAACCUCGGGUCCCAACACCUCUUCUUCAUCUUCCCAUGUCCUGAAUGGAUCUUUCUAUACGUCUAGAGAUCAGACAAUCAUUGCAGUUUUAGAUGGAUACGACUUGGCAUAUUGA